UACGUAGGUGGCAAGCGUUGUCCGGAUUUAUUGGGCGUAAAGCGCGCGCAGGCGGUCCUUUAAGUCUGAUGUGAAAUCUUGCGGCUCAACCGCAAGCGGUCAUUGGAAACUGGGGGACUUGAGUGCAGAAGAGGAAAGCGGAAUUCCACGUGUAGCGUGAAAUGCGUAGAGAUGUGGAGGAACACCGUGCGAG
RNAcentral lists this ribosomal RNA (193 nucleotides) under uncultured bacterium. RNAcentral's name for it is "partial 16S ribosomal RNA". It matches the Rfam family "Bacterial small subunit ribosomal RNA", at positions 524 to 717 of the family's 1533-position model. The record is from RNAcentral.